This 349-nucleotide unclassified non-coding RNA is filed under the name soil metagenome. RNAcentral's name for it is "partial contains 5.8S ribosomal RNA, internal transcribed spacer 2, and large subunit ribosomal RNA". The stretch from base 1 to 120 matches the Rfam family "5.8S ribosomal RNA", at positions 35 to 154 of the family's 154-position model. The record is from RNAcentral.
GAUGAAGAACGUAGCGAAAUGCGAUAAGUAAUGUGAAUUGCAGAAUUCAGUGAAUCAUCGAAUCUUUGAACGCACAUUGCGCCCGCCAGUAUUCUGGCGGGCAUGCCUGUUCGAGCGUCAUUUCAACCCUCAAGCCCAGCUUGGUGUUGGGGAUCGGCACAGGCGCCCUCGGGCGCCCGCCGUCCCCUAAAUCUAGUGGCGGUCCCGCUGCAGCCUCCUCUGCGUAGUAGUUUUCUCCUCGCAAGGGCAGCUCGGUGGCGACCUCGCCGUAAAACCCCCAACUUCUGAAAGGUUGACCUCGAAUCAGGUAGGAAUACCCGCUGAACUUAAGCAUAUCAAUAAGCGGAGA